GAGUUUGGAUCUGGCUCAGAUUGAACGCUGGCGGCAUGCCUUACACAUGCAAGUCGAACGGUAACAGGUUAAGCUGACGAGUGGCGAACGGGUGAGUAAUGUAUCGGAACGUGCCCAGUCGUGGGGGAUAACUGCUCGAAAGAGCAGCUAAUACCGCAUACGACCUGAGAGUGAAAGCGGGGGAUCGCAAGACCUCGCGCGAUUGGAGCGGCCGAUAUCAGAUUAGGUAGUUGGUGAGGUAAAGGCUCACCAAGCCGACGAUCUGUAGCUGGUCUGAGAGGACGACCAGCCACACUGGGACUGAGACACGGCCCAGACUCCUACGGGAGGCAGCAGUGGGGAAUUUUGGACAAUGGGCGCAAGCCUGAUCCAGCCAUGCCGCGUGCGGGAAGAAGGCCUUCGGGUUGUAAACCGCUUUUGUCAGGGAAGAAAAGGUUCUGGCUAAUACCUGGGACUCAUGACGGUACCUGAAGAAUAAGCACCGGCUAACUAC
Molecule: ribosomal RNA, 493 nt
Filed under: uncultured Roseateles sp.
Lineage: Bacteria; Pseudomonadati; Pseudomonadota; Betaproteobacteria; Burkholderiales; Sphaerotilaceae
Description: bacterial SSU rRNA
Rfam family: Bacterial small subunit ribosomal RNA
Source: RNAcentral